Oreochromis niloticus (Nile tilapia) is the source of this 634-nucleotide long non-coding RNA. RefSeq lists it as uncharacterized. The record is from RefSeq and is a predicted model, not a curated record. NCBI's taxonomy places the organism in Eukaryota, Metazoa, Chordata, Actinopteri, Cichliformes, Cichlidae. The transcript has 2 exons.
UUCAUCACAGCUUGAUUUGUAUCAAUCAGCUGGUUUGUUUUUCUGCAGGACAACAACGUAUAUGUAGAGAUCAGAGAGGUGAACAGACAGAGCAGUUCACCUCCUGCAGGAGUGUCUUUAGUGUACGCUACACCAAAAGCCUCCAACCAGAUGGAGAUGAAAACAAUAGACCUCUACAGCCUCUCCACCUCUCCUCACAACAAAGUACAUGCCAGCCCUGCCGACCACACCACAGAUGCUUCACCUCCUCAUCUGUCCAAAAACAUCAGUAGUGAUGCUGCUGAUGGAACCUCGGUGGCUAACAGAUGAACAGAAUCCAUACAACAGUAUAUUUUCUGUUUGAUUUAUAUCUGUUUAUGACCAUCUUUAUAACUUUACCCUGAAAGGUUUUUUUUAUUACAGCUACUUUUAAUUUAGUUUAACAGAUGGCAUGAUGGUAUGACUGACAGGCUGUUCCUGGAGCAAGAUCCUUAAAUGCAGUCAGCAAAAAGGCUCCAGGUGGCAAACUUCAUCUAUUUUAUGUUAGUGUGUAUUUUAAUCAAAUCACUGGAACUCAGAUAAACUUCUGUGUCACCUGUUACUGUUGUCAUCAGUCAGACUGAAACAAACACAAUAAAAGGACAAAUAAAAUAUG